AUACAGAGGGUGCAAGCGUUAAUCGGAUUUACUGGGCGUAAAGCGCGCGUAGGUGGCUAAUUAAGUCAAAUGUGAAAUCCCCGAGCUUAACUUGGGAAUUGCAUUCGAUACUGGUUAGCUAGAGUAUGGGAGAGGAUGGUAGAAUUCCAGGUGUAGCGGUGAAAUGCGUAGAGAUCUGGAGGAAUACCGAUGGCGAAGGCAUCCAUCUGGCCUAAUACUGACACUGAGGUGCGAAAGCAUGGGGAGCAAACAGGAUUAGAUACCCUGGUAGUCCAUGCCGUAAACGAUGUCUACUAGCCGUUGGGGCCCUUGAGGCUUUAGUGGCGCAGCUAACGCGAUAAGUAGACCGCCUGGGGAGUACGGUCGCAAGACUAAAACUCAAAUGAAUUGGCGGGG
Molecule: ribosomal RNA, 396 nt
Filed under: uncultured bacterium
Lineage: Bacteria
Description: partial 16S ribosomal RNA
Rfam family: Bacterial small subunit ribosomal RNA
Source: RNAcentral